RNAcentral lists this ribosomal RNA (253 nucleotides) under uncultured bacterium. Its description in RNAcentral is "partial 16S ribosomal RNA". It matches the Rfam family "Bacterial small subunit ribosomal RNA", at positions 524 to 776 of the family's 1533-position model. The record is from RNAcentral.
UACAGAGGGUGCAAGCGUUGCUCGGAAUUAUUGGGCGUAAAGGGUAGGUAGGUGGUCUCAUUUGUCGGGGGUGAAAGCCUUGGGCUUAACCCAAGAAGUGCCUUCGAAACGGUGAGACUGGAGUCCUGGAGAGGGUCGUGGAAUUCCCGGUGUAGCGGUGAAAUGCGUAGAGAUCGGAAGGAACAUCAAUGGCGAAGGCAGCCGCCUGGGCCUGGACUGACACUGAGGCACGAAAGCGUGGGUAGCAAACAGG